AGAGCGAACGCUGGCGGCAUGCUUAACACAUGCAAGUCGCACGGUUCGGGGGCAACCCCGGGCAGUGGCGGACGGGUGAGGAACGCGUAGGAAUAUGUCCUGGGAUGGGGGAUAACCGUGGGAAACUACGGCUAAUACCGCAUGCGGCCUGAGGGCCAAAGGUCGAAAGGCCGUCUUGGGAGGAGCCUGCGUCCGAUUAGCUUGUUGGUGGGGUAACGGCCUACCAAGGCUGCGAUCGGUAGCUGGUCUGAGAGGAUGAUCAGCCACACUGGGACUGAGACACGGCCCAGACUCCUACGAGAGGCAGCAGUGGGGAAUAUUGGACAAUGGGCGCAAGCCUGAUCCAGCAAUGCCGCGUGGGUGAAGAAGGUCUUCGGAUUGUAAAGCCCUUUCGGCGGGGACGAUGAUGACGGUACCCGCAGAAGAAGCACCGGCUAACUACGUGCCAGCAGCCGC
This 456-nucleotide ribosomal RNA is filed under the name uncultured bacterium. Its description in RNAcentral is "SSU rRNA". It matches the Rfam family "Bacterial small subunit ribosomal RNA", at positions 26 to 518 of the family's 1533-position model. The record is from RNAcentral.